ACUCCGGUUCAGUGAUUCUGCACUUGCUCUAUUACCAUAGUACUAUACCGCCUUCAAAUUUUAUGAACGACUGGGUGUUUAAGGUUAGCCAUUUGUCGUAUUAUCUGGCUGUAUAGCAAAUGAACAAAUACUAUUACAGUACUUUACUACGCAAGAUAAAAACGCACGUGUUUAAAAAUGUAUCUGUUUUUUUUUUAUGUAGGGCCCCUUUAUAACAUCAUGCUACAGGCCCCGCACUCGCUUCAUCCGGCACUGCUCGGAGUCGGCGUUAUUGGUGAAGACACGGUGUGUGUAAGUGAGGGGACGGUGACUCCGAUGCGUGAAACCGGACGAGUGGGAUCCACAUUCUUCUGGCCCAGCAGGGCGUGAGAGGCAUCUUUAAACACAAAGGUGCGUGACGUCAUUUGUGGACGGCCCCUCACCACGCACGCGACGGUGCCCGGCGUGGCGGGGAGAGUGUGUACACAGGAGGCGCACGCGAGUACGGGGAGGAGUCAUCGUUGCCGUGGGUUCACUCUCCGACACACCAACCGGUGGUGCUGAACUCGUCACGACUUGGCACGUUCUGAUUACGUGGCAAACCUCACUAACUGGCUGUGUCGGGUGGUGGCGGGGUUUAACGACACAUUUACGCGAUCUAACCCCAGAAAUCACACCUGUAUUAUGUACGUAGGAGUAUGUAGGAGUGUGUACUUGAGUACACACCGUAGCAGCCGGACGUGUGAGGCGCAGCGCUGCGUUGAUGAUGGUACUGCGACCCAGCUGAGAUUUCGUGGCCACGCGUAAUAUCGGUGGCAAUCAUCUAGAACUGGUGCCCGGGGGGCCUCUUGCUCGGUCAAAUUGGCCUUCAGUGAAUGUGCCAGUGUGCGUUGUGUGAAGAGCAAGUUGGCAUAGUAGGGGGCACAGGUGGUGCAUCGGCCAGUUAUCUCAGUCGACCCGCGGCGCCUGGGUCUGCUCCGUAACCUCCUGCCAGCGGGCGUUCGACACUUCAUGUGGCU
Long non-coding RNA from Petromyzon marinus (sea lamprey), 998 nucleotides. RefSeq lists it as uncharacterized. Lineage: Eukaryota; Metazoa; Chordata; Hyperoartia; Petromyzontiformes; Petromyzontidae. The record is from RefSeq and is a predicted model, not a curated record.